CUCUGUGUGAGUCGCGGCUGUAUCAGACUCCUCAGUUCAUCAGCCAUGGACAAACGUUUGCUGCUGGUUGUGCUGUGUCUGCAGGUUUUCCUGCUCAUCACAUCCUUCACCUCUACUGAUGCAGCCACUCUGUCGAGAGACUAUUAUCAUCGACCACCUUCUGGUCAGAUGGGGCGAUGGAGAUCUAGAGUUAAAAACCCACUAUCCAGGUGUAACUGGAAACCAAGAGGACGUGCAGUUGCGGGUUACAGUGACCCUAGACAGACAGAAGAAGGAUCGGGUGCUAUACAUUUUGGUUAUACUUACUGAGCUGCUUCCACAGAAAUGGGUUGUGAUAAUGUAGCUGCUGCCUGUCUACUUGCCUACUUUGGUGACUAUGACUCAUGUAAAAUAAGGAGAAUUUCUGGAAAAAGAAUAAAUUACUGAAUGGAUACAGAGGUGCAUUAAACCAGCAAUACUUCAUUUUUUAAGGCCCAGAUAAUCUUAACAACCUACAUUUAGGUAUUUAGUCUAAAGAAGGAUAUUGCUAUAUCUGAAAGUUUGUUGUUGGAGUCAGUGACAAUGAAAUUCUCACGAGUGAACAUGAAUUAUACAAACAGUAUUUCAAAGUAAAAUAGUGUGUGAUUAAAUCACACUUGUGGCAUAAUAGCACUCUAUAAAGAUACAUUAAUACAAGUGAAUGUGCUGCAUUCAACAUCGUAAAUAAUCUGAAAUAUUCCUACUGUAAUGGCAGAUUUUUUCUUAUGCAAUUAAAGGUUAAAAUAACUUCAUUAGCUGAUUGCGUGUAUUGAACAUUGCAUUGUAUUAUAUAAAAUAAUCAUUUGAUGGGUUUUACCCUCCAUCUUAUGCAUUCCAUGUAUUCAUCUGUUUUAUUUUCUGUAUAAUGUUACACUGAUUAUGACAUUCAAUCUGUUUUUAUGUCCAUUCUUUUCAUGUAAAGCUUUAAUUUCUUCAUUG
This is a long non-coding RNA of Lates calcarifer (barramundi perch), 957 nucleotides long. RefSeq lists it as uncharacterized. The record is from RefSeq and is a predicted model, not a curated record. NCBI's taxonomy places the organism in Eukaryota, Metazoa, Chordata, Actinopteri, Centropomidae. The transcript has 3 exons.